This is a non-coding RNA of Xylariaceae sp. FL0662B, 80 nucleotides long. The record is from the annotation of a GenBank genome assembly. NCBI's taxonomy places the organism in Eukaryota, Fungi, Ascomycota, Sordariomycetes, Xylariales, Xylariaceae.
UCCGAAUUGGUGUAGUGGCUAACAUUUGACGCUCUCAACUAAGAUCCGUCAAGCCCGGGGUUCGAUUCCCCGAUUCGGAG